GCUGGGCACGAUGAAGCAUGCCUGUAGUCCCAGCUACUCUGGAGGCUGAGGCUGGAGGAUUGCUUGAGCCCAGGAAUUCUGGGCUGUAGUGCGCUAUGCCGCUCGGGUGUCUGCACUAAGUUCGGCAUCAAUAUGGUGACUUCUUGGAAGUGGGGACCACCAGGUUGUCUAAGGAAGGGGUGAACUGACCCAGGUCGGAAUCGGAGCCAUGCUGAUCAGUAGUGGGAUAGGACCUGUGAAUAGCCACUGCACUCCAGCCUGGGCAACAUAGCAAGACCCUGUCUCU
RNAcentral lists this signal recognition particle RNA (286 nucleotides) under Aotus nancymaae (Ma's night monkey). Its description in RNAcentral is "Metazoan signal recognition particle RNA (ENSANAG00000005203.1)". It matches the Rfam family "Metazoan signal recognition particle RNA". Rfam says of the family: The signal recognition particle (SRP) is a universally conserved ribonucleoprotein. Lineage: Eukaryota; Metazoa; Chordata; Mammalia; Primates; Aotidae. The record is from RNAcentral.